CUACGGGCUGCUGCAGUGGGGAAUAUUGCACAAUGGAGGAAACUCUGAUGCAGCAACGCCGCGUGGAGGAUGACACUUUUCGGAGCGUAAACUCCUUUUAUAUAGGAAGAAGAUGACGGUACUAUAUGAAUAAGCGCCGGCUAACUCCGUGCCAGCAGCCGCGGGUAAUACGGAGGGCGCAAGCGUUACUCGGAAUCACUGGGCGUAAAGAGCGUGUAGGAGGAUUAAAAAGUCAGAAGUGAAAUCCUAUAGCUUAACUAUAGAACUGCUUCUGAAACUCUUAAUCUAGAAUAUGGGAGAGGUAGAUGGAAUUUCUGGUGUAGGGGUAAAAUCCGUAGAGAUCAGAAGGAAUACCGAUUGCGAAGGCGAUCUACUAGAACAUUAUUGACGCUGAGACGCGAAAGCGUGGGGAGCAAACAGGAUUAGAUACCCCCGUAGUC
This 440-nucleotide ribosomal RNA is filed under the name uncultured bacterium. RNAcentral describes it as "partial 16S ribosomal RNA". It matches the Rfam family "Bacterial small subunit ribosomal RNA", at positions 339 to 795 of the family's 1533-position model. The record is from RNAcentral.